This 5615-nucleotide long non-coding RNA is filed under the name Cucumis sativus (cucumber). Its description in RNAcentral is "long non-coding RNA (CSAT_LNC000345)". The record is from RNAcentral. Lineage: Eukaryota; Viridiplantae; Streptophyta; Magnoliopsida; Cucurbitales; Cucurbitaceae.
GCUUAUCAUCAAUACUUUAUCUCCUUUCUUUAGUCUUUUUUUGGCUUCCAUAUACCCCAAAACAUACCACAGGCUACUUGCGGACGUGUUUCCAAAUCGAUGAAGGGUCAUUCUAGCUGGCUCGAGAUCAUGUUCGGUUAGGUUUAGACUCUUUCCAACCCCAUCUAUCACUGCUUUUCCUCCUGUGUGUAGGCAGAAAUGCUCCGCUCCGGUUUUGAAGUUUGCCAUUGGCUUCGGCCAUCGGGGCUUCGAGGAGCUAGCUAGGGAGAUUUUGUGUAUUAUUGUUAGGAUUGUUAGCCGGAAUAUCUCGGUUAUUGGAAGGAUUUUUGGGGAGAUCUCUCUUAGAUUGUCUGUGAAUGCUCUUAUUGCUGCCCUUGGGAGACUCUUUCCUAGAUGGAAACCUUAAACAAAGAAAAAAAAAACUUUUGUUAGAAAUAACCUACAAGCAAAGAAUAAAAAGUUAAUUGAGCUCAGUAAAUUACUAUGUAUUAAUAUUAGCUGCACAUUCACAAACAAGUGGCGAAUUUAACAAUAGAAUAUAAAAUCUAAAAAUAUGUAUGCAAGUAAGAUUGUGAGUUAGAGUGUUUUUAUACAUCACCUCUCCUAAAUCCAGAAUAAAAUGGAUUAGAAUAAACGGUAGAAAUAAAAAUGAAAUAGUAAUACUCGUAUAACUUUAGGUUGGUCAUAUUCAUGGUGAAAUAUAACAUAUUUAAGGCAUUUUUACAAAGUUAGGUGAAAGGAAAAAUAAUUAUUUAGUAAAAAUUCCACAAUAUGAGUAUGGGAUCUUAAUAAUGGUUGGAAGCUAGAUUUAAAGAUCACAUACCGCUUUAACUAUUAAAUACAGUCUUAUGAAAAGAAUUAUUUAUUUAAAUCAUCAUAACGUAACUAUCUUUUGAUAACGAUUGGAUGUAGAUUUAAUCAACAUAUUUCUAAUAAUAUAAGAGUUACUUUUGCAAUUUCUCUUUCUUGAAUCUAGUGGUUGAAAAUUGUUAGUUACAUCAUGUUGCUUCCUUCAAAGUAGUAUAACGUGUUUGAAUAAUUAAUUAAAAGUAUUUAUUUUCAAAGUUUUGGAAAAGAGGGGUGAAUUUAAUUUUGAGAAACAAUUAUGAAAGAGAAUGACCGUAUGUAUUAUUUGUUUACCUAAGUUGCCUUGGUCAUCUUCUUUCUGAUAGCAACAUUCAUAAGACUCAUCUUGAGCUCCGUGGUGUGUUCUUACUAGACACUUGAGUUUCAACAAAGCUUUGUUUUUCAAACUCCUUUUAUUGGUCAAGAGUAUGGCCGCACCACCGGAACGAAACAGACAAUUUGCCAAAAUCAUGGAUCGAUCGUUACCAGAGUACCAGUUCGCAGUGAGUGACUCAGACGUGACAACAAUGCCGUAUGAGUUCAUGUGUGAUUUAAACAUUCUUCUCACAACAUCCACAGAAAUAAGACUAGCACUGCAUCCCAUUCCACUUAGAUUGAACACUUUUAUGUCUUCCUUCAUUUUAAACCUAUAUAUACAAUCAAUAUAUUUUAACAUCACAAAUUUUAGAAAAUGACAUUAAAAAAAGUUCUAAUCUCAAAUCUCAUAUAUCAAUUUUCAAGAGAAAAUGACAUCCAAAAAGUUCAAAUAUAUAGAAUAUUCGUGGAUCCAAAAGUUUAAGUGGAUGGAGUUACACUAAAUCUUACUUGUUAAUAAUUAUGGAGGCAAGAGAAGGGGAAGUGGACAACAUGGAGAUAUUGACGACGAGUAUAUCGAUUUGAGAAGGGGAAACACCAGAUUUUUGGAAAAGCUUAUGGAGACAGUCAAGGAAAAACUCUUCAACUUCAAUGAUACUAUCAACGAGAGAAGGGUGACUUUCUUUACCGGAGAAGACGACACGGGGACCGUAGGUUUGCUCGCCGAUACCGGAGUUGACAACGGCUUUGAGAAGGAAUUUGAAUUCUUCAAGUCCGAGAUUUUUGGUACGUUUCAUAAGGUCUCGACAGAGCUGAGUGCCAAGCAUUCUAUCCUCGCUCGGUUUGAAACAUUGAUAGUCUAAAAUGUAGCAUUGUUGGUCUCUUUUUGCAUCAAAAUGUUUCCAUAAUUUUAAUGCUAAAUAGAGUAAGGGGAUUGCAUAGAGUAAGAAGAGUGGCUCCAUGAGAGAGAUGAAGAGAUGGAAAAAGAAAAGAACAAAACAGAGAGAGAUUCCCAGAAAUGAAGCAAUGUGUUGAAGAAAAGAGAGGGCUCAGCUCUUAUAGCAAAGGGGAGCAGUUGGGAGACUUAACGCGUUUAUGAAUGCAAAUUGCCAAAUAUAUAUUUACAAUUUUCUAUUCUCAUUUUCAUUUCUUUUAUCCUUUUAAAAGUGUUAUUUAAUUAUUUUGGAUGGGGUGUAAAUUAUUUGCAUUCAAAUGUUUGAAAAUAUAGAUUUAGGAUUUUUCUAGAAUGAAAUAAAAAUAAAUUCAUAUAUUAUUAGGUAUGGGAUGUUUUGACUUUACUUAUAUGCAUGUGGUAAUUGGUAUAAUUAAGUGUAUUAAUUAAAUAAGUUUGUUGCAAAAUAUGUUUUAAUGAUAAAGAAAAUCACCCUAUUAUAUUCUUAAAGUUAUCUUGAUAUUCGUGAAUUGUGCUAUGAAAUAUAUGUUUUUAUAUUCAAUAUUUUCAUAUUUUUAUAGAAAUACCUAACAACAUAUAUUUAAAGUGUUGUGUAUAAAUUGUUAACGUGCAUUUUUAAAACGCUAUUUAUGAAUAGUAGAUUGCAUCAAAUUUCAUGUUAUAUAAUUAUAGUAAAUAUAUAUAGCUAAAGUUAUCAACUUAUUUAUAAAAUAUUUCAAAAAAAAAUUUGUCUGCUACAUUUAAAAUUAUUUUUGAACCAUUUUGCUAUUUGAAUUAAUUUAAAUCCAUGUGUUUUAAAGAAAUAUUUUUCACAUACACAAAUUUUAUUUUGGUAACAUUCCCAAACAACACACUCAAGUUUUCUUUUUAAAAUAUGCACCUAUAUUGAUUAUAUAUAAUAUAUAUGUUGAAUUAAUUCUUAAAACUUUGAGCUUGGUUUUCAUUUUUGGUUUCUAAAUUUUAAAAGUUUAGUUUUAAAACAAGGAAAUACAUGCUUUCAAUUUACUGCAACAACAUGUUAAAUUUGUAAUUUGAAUUCUAAUACUUAAUAAAGUAAGAGAGCUAAAUAAUAGAAAAAUAGAAAUUUAAGAUUCUUCAUGUACGAAGCCAUGAUGGUGUAUUUGUAGCUAUAGUUAGACCUCCUCAUCUUGAAGUUGUCGAGUUACUUAUUGGACUUUGGUUGUAUAAGGGUUGCACCAUCUUGUUUGUCAUUUAGCUAAGGUUCGACUUCAACUUAAUCUCAGUCGGAGCAAGGUCAAGCACAUUGGUUUGGGCCAAGGGCCAAGACAUCUCUUAGAUUGUCGUUUCUACCUCUGACCUUGAUAUUCAUGCUAUCUUUUCAAUUUUGUUGUUCAAUAUUCUUGUCAAAUAUAGCUAUCUUUUGAUCUCAAAUCACUCGUGAUAAAAAUUACUUUCUUUUUUCCACUUGUGUUGUCAGUUUUGUGAUACAGAUUAAACAAGUGUAUAAGUCUAUCUAGUUGUAACAACCUAAAAAUUUAAAGUAAUUUUGUUGCUUAAUUAUCUUGAAUAAUUUAUGACUAUAUUAUUAUGAGUGUUAUAUUCAUUGAUAUUGAAAGUCCAAAAAAAUUAUUUGGAGUAAUAUGUUGGAUUAAUUAAAUAUAUAUGUGUGUAAUUUAUAUUUAAUUAAAGAUUUUGAAAUUUGGGGAAGAUGGUUAUUAAGUAUAAUUAACACUUGAAAAAUUGAUGAUUAUAUUUCGGAAUAUAAUUAUUGAAAAAAAUUAUAGUAUCCCAAAUAAUUAUAAAAUCUUUAUUAAUUAUCUUCAAUUAUUUGGGUAUUGUUGGGAGGGUUGGAGCUAAAGUAGAAUUAUUGCUUUAGGAUAAUUCAUGUUUGAAAUUUUAAGAUAACUUAUUUAUUGAAAAAGAUUUUGGUUAAUUAAGAAAAUUGAGAAUUUGAAUUAAUUUGUGAUCUGGAAGGGAAAGUUAGUUUUUGUGGAAUUAGAAUUAAUUAAGUAUAUAUAUAGGGGUGUGUAUAUUUAAUGAAAUAUCAUUCUAAUCGUUAAAAAAUAAGAUAAUUAAUAAAAAGAGAUUGUAGACUUGAUUGAAUGGAAAAAAUGAUGGAUUUAAUUAGGAGAUGGGAGAAAAGUUUAGAUAAAUGUAUAUUUUUAUUAUUAUUAUUAUUAUUAUUAGUUAUAAAUGUCUAAUGGUUGGUGCAUUUAAGAUUUAAGAAUUGGUUGAGAAAAGAGAAUGAAAAUAAAAAAAAAUGUGUUCAGAAAGGAAAAUGAAAUAACAACCAUGAUGAUGAUAAUAAUAAUAAUAAUUACUAUUAUUUGGAUUUAUAAAUAAGUUUGGAGUUCGUAAAUUGAAAAGAAAAUGAAAAUGAAAAGGUUUUUCAUCUUCUUUCUUAGCAUAACUCCAGUAAUCGUCCUUAUUCGAUCGGAGUUGCCUGUCGUUGCCCUCAAUCAUCACUGCUCACCGAUUGCCCUCAAUCAUCACUGUUCACCGAUUUUACUUUGUUGAUCCAUGUAAUUUUGAAACGUUUUCUUUCAAAACUUGCGUAUUAGAGUAUAGAGUACGAAAUUGAAUCUCCGACCUCAAAAUUGAUAAUACAAAUCUGAGUUAUUAUCCUCGCUCGAAACAAUAAAUGGUGUGAAAUUAAAAAAAAAAAAAGAAAAUUGGUAGAUAGUUAAAUUUUUCUCAAUUCUUUUUAUAUACGUAAACCCCCUCCCUACACCUUAACUUAUCAAAAUCUUAAAUGACUGUCCACGGGAGACAAGCCAUUACUCCAUAGAAAAAUAGGUAAAUCUCUUCAACACAAAUCAAAAAAUAAAAGGAAACCCAAUAGUAAUAAAUGCAUGAUUUAUAUAUAUAAACAUAAAAAAAAUUCUCAACCCAUAUAAAUUUUGAAAACAAAUAGAAGUAAACUUUCCAACACUUGAAUCCAAUAAAAAGAAAACCUAUAUUAACAUGAUCAACUAAACUUCCAACAUCAAAAUAAAUUUUUUUUAAGAAAUCUCUCAACAACUAAUAACAUUUUUCCUUCAAUAAAAAAUCAAAUCAAACUCUCUUUUUUUCUUUUCCAUUUUUUCCAUUUUUUCUUAUUUGUUGAGAUUCAAAGUGACUUGAAAGUAGUUGCAUCUUCCUUUUGAAUCCAUCCAAAGGUUUCCAUGAAAGGGUUAGCCAAAGACAAUGGUGGAUAGCUAUUAAUGCAAUCUUCCCAUACAUUACCCUUUUUUCCACCCAACUCUCUCACCACUUCCCACAAACAACUAUUGCAUUUAAACCCUGCUCCAAAGUUAAUCAUCAAUACUUUAUCUCCUUUCUUUAGCCUUUUUUUGGCUUCCAUAUACCCCAAAACAUACCACAGGCUACUUGCCGACGUGUUUCCGAAUCGAUGAAGGGUCAUUCUGGCUGGCUCGAGAUCAUGUUCGGUUAGGUUUAGACCCUUUCCAACCCCAUCUAUCACUGCUUUUCCUCCUGUGUGUAUGCAGAAAUGCUCUGCUCCGGUUUUGAAGUUUGCCAUUGGCUUUGGCCAUCGGGGCUUCGAGGAGCUAGCUAGGGAGAUUUUGUGUAUUAUUGUUAG